UUCGCAAGAAUGAAACUCAAAGGAAUUGACGGGGACCCGCACAAGCGGUGGAGCAUGUGGUUUAAUUUGAAGCAACGCGAAGAACCUUACCAAGUCUUGACAUCCUUCUGACCGGACAGUAAUGUGUCCUUUCCUUCGGGACAGAAGAGACAGGUGGUGCAUGGUUGUCGUCAGCUCGUGUCGUGAGAUGUUGGGUUAAGUCCCGCAACGAGCGCAACCCUUAUCCCCAGUAGCCAGCAUUUUGGAUGGGCACUCUGAGGAGACUGCCAGGGAUAACCUGGAGGAAGGCGGGGAUGACGUCAAAUCAUCAUGCCCCUUAUGACUUGGGCUACACACGUGCUACAAUGGCGUAAACAAAGGGAAGCAAGACCGUGAGGUGGAGCAAAUCCCAAAAAUAACGUCUCAGUUCGGACUGUAGUCUGCAACCCGACUACACGAAGCUGGAAUCGCUAGUAAUCGCAGAUCAGAAUGCUGCGGUGAAUACGUUCCCGGGUCCCGCAAAAAGCGCCCGUC
RNAcentral lists this ribosomal RNA (513 nucleotides) under uncultured bacterium. Its description in RNAcentral is "bacterial SSU rRNA". It matches the Rfam family "Bacterial small subunit ribosomal RNA", at positions 885 to 1398 of the family's 1533-position model. The record is from RNAcentral.